Molecule: ribosomal RNA, 322 nt
Filed under: uncultured Chloroflexota bacterium
Lineage: Bacteria; Bacillati; Chloroflexota
Description: bacterial SSU rRNA
Rfam family: Bacterial small subunit ribosomal RNA
Source: RNAcentral
GAUGAACGCUGGCGGCGUGCUUAAUACAUGCAAGUCGAACGGAGUAUGUAGCGAUAUAUACUCAGUGGCGAACGGGUGAGUAACGCGUUGGUGACCUGCCCCGAAGAGGGGGAUAACAGUUCGAAAGGACUGCUAAUACCCCAUAAUCUCGGCGAGGUUAGAGGCUUGUCGAGGAAAGCAGCAAUGCACUUUGGGAGGGACCUGCGUCCCAUCAGCUAGUUGGUAGGGUAACGGCCUACCAAGGCGACGACGGGUAGGGGGCCUGAGAGGGUGGCCCCCCACACUGGCACUGAAACACGGGCCAGACUCCUACGGGUGGCUG